AGCUUGCUCUGCUGGAUCAGUGGCGAACGGGUGAGUAACACGUGAGUAACCUGCCCUUCACUUUGGGAUAACCUCGGGAAAUCGGGGCUAAUACCGGAUACGAGGCACCUUCGCAUGGGGUGUGCCUGGAAAGAUUUAUCGGUGGAGGAUGGACUCGCGGCCUAUCAGCUUGUUGGUGGGGUAAUGGCCCACCAAGGCGACGACGGGUAGCCGGCCUGAGAGGGCGACCGGCCACACUGGGACUGAGAUACGGCCCAGACUCCUACGGGAGGCAGCAGUGGGGAAUAUUGCACAAUGGGCGCAAGCCUGAUGCAGCGACGCCGCGUGGGGGAUGAAGGCCUUCGGGUUGUAAACCCCUUUCAGCAGGGAAGAAGCGAGAGUGACGGUACCUGCAGAAGAAGCGCCGGCUAACUACGUGCCAGCAGCCGCGGUAAUACGUAGGGCGCAAGCGUUGUCCGGAAUUAUUGGGCGUAAAGAGCUCGUAGGCGGUUUGUCGCGUCUGGUGUGAAAACUCAAGGCUCAACCUUGAGCUUGCACCGGGUACGGGCAGACUAGAGUGCGGUAGGGGUGACUGGAAUUCCUGGUGUAGCGGUGGAAUGCGCAGAUAUCAGGAGGAACACCGAUGGCGAAGGCAGGUCACUGGGCCGCAACUGACGCUGAGGAGCGAAAGCAUGGGGAGCGAACAGGAUUAGAUACCCUGGUAGUCCAUGCCGUAAACGUUGGGCACUAGGUGUGGGGCUCAUUCCACGAGUUCCGUGCCGCA
RNAcentral lists this ribosomal RNA (763 nucleotides) under unidentified microorganism. RNAcentral's name for it is "bacterial SSU rRNA". It matches the Rfam family "Bacterial small subunit ribosomal RNA", at positions 77 to 850 of the family's 1533-position model. The record is from RNAcentral.